Molecule: long non-coding RNA, 1547 nt
Organism: Quercus robur (English oak)
Lineage: Eukaryota; Viridiplantae; Streptophyta; Magnoliopsida; Fagales; Fagaceae
Exons: 2
Source: RefSeq, a predicted model, not a curated record
CCACUCAUUUUCUCACUAUCCACUUUCUCUCUUUGGCCGGCUCUUUCACUUCACUCCUUUUCUUUCCUUUUUUUCAUUCUCUCAUAGCUCCUCUCUAUACUCAUCUUCUCCACCGGCACUUCCACACCACCGCCACCAUUUCCACCAUUUCAACCAUCAUUUUCCGGCAAGAUCACCAGAAAAUUUUUGGGAACCCAUAAACACCUUCACAUCCUUUUUUUGAGAUAAAAAUUUCUCAUCUUUUUGGUUCUAGCUAAUCUCCUUGGAGCUUGGAGAAUUAGGAUUUUGUGGUUACGAGGUAAGUAGUUUUUUAAUGGGAUUUUGAAAAAUAACCAUGUUGUGUAAAUGUUGUUUUUGGGUUAGACACACUUUUGGAACUACCUAUGGAAAUUAUAUUUUCCUAAAAACUAUUGUGUCGUAACCAUAAUAUAUAUAUAUAUAUAUAUGAUUAUAUAUGAAAAUGCAUCAUAUUUGGUAUUGCAUUUGGGGAAAUGCAUGAAUUGUUGAUAUGGAAAAAAAAUGAGCAUAUUUUAUUUAAUCUUUGAUAAGGAAAUCUUGGAUUUUAUGGUAUAUUAGAAAAUUUAAAGAUGCUUAUCUGGUCUUGUAAUGUGAGAAAUUGUUAGAAAAUCUUUUGACAAGAAUGAGGUUGAAAAUCUUACAAACUUUGUAGAAGUUAGAUUAUUUAAGGUUUUCUGAAACUACUUGGAUACGAAUUAUGUGUUUCAAAGUAAUGUAACUUGUGAGUUUAUGUGGUUUUAGCCCUAUGCCAUGUAUGAUUUCCCGGUGAUCACCCGAUUUGGUUUCCGUAGUCUUUGUGAUAAUGGAAUCAAAUCUAGGUCAGUGCCCUUUCACUUUGGAUGACGCGUUCUUCCCUGCUGUCCAUGGGGGGAAGAGGUUCCUUGAUUGUGUGUGAGUGAGACUGCUAUCCAUGGGGCCAAAAUACCACAUGCAAGAGAGGUCCUAUUUGACGCGCUCUCUUUGCUGCCCAUGGAGGGAGAGAAAAACCUUGAGAGUAUGGGUGAGGCUGCUAUCCAUGGGGCCAAGAGUCUGUAUACCAGAGAGGACAAUAUCAUGCCAGUUGUGAAUGGGUGAAUCCCCUAAUCGGUUUAUGUGGUAGUGUGGUAUAUUUGUGAUAAGUUACCUUAUGUUAGAUAUUAUGACUUUGGAAAUUAUAUUGUUGGUGCUCACAGAUUAUAGUAUAUAGUUUCAAGGUAUUUACUUUGGGAAACUUUGUGUUUCAUUAUUUAAUCAUUCUUCUCAUAUUAAUAUUAUUGAAGAUGAAACUUGCAUUUCCCUCACCCCCAUUAAAUAUGCUACUUACUGGGCCCUAUCUCAUUCCAUUAUUUUAUAAACUUUUCAGAGUAGGCAACAAUCUUUUGAGACAGCUUUUUGGGUGGCUAAUAGUAGUUAGACUAACUACUGAUGGAGGCUAAACUUUUGUAAUGGAUAUAUUAGAUGGUAUAUAUCUUAGACUAGACUUGACUCAUUCUUUUGUGGCCAAUGGUCCUUGUAAUUAAUGCUUAAAGCUCUGACUUACUCUGUGAGUA